CUUGAACGGCCAGCAGCUGCUCGUCUGUGGUCCAACGAGCAUUCACCUUCUGGUUACACUGCAAGAUUCAACAUCAGAGCCUCAGUGACGGACCAGUAAAAACUCUCAGUUUGUCUGAAGAACUAAAACGUAUGAGAGUCACAUUUCAUUUGCACACACAGGUGCUGAUUUAACCUUUCUUUGACUUACAGACAAUCCAUUACCACGAAGGAGAAAACUUUCCUACCACUGUCCAAAAUGGUUUACACUGAAGAACAGAGCUUGUGAUGAACUUCGUGUGAGUUUCAGUGCGUCUGUACCUCAGGCAGCCUGAAUUCUUCGAUCCCAGACUCCAGCAUGUGUUUCAGCCCACUGUUCAUCUGUUUGGCGUUUUGGACCUGAAGGGUCUCACCACCAGGUGUCAGCAGAGCCCUGGCAGAUCAGACAGGCAUCCGACUGGACGACUCAGGACACUGGUUGGGGUCUUUUACCUGUGCUCAAACAUUUUUCCCACCUGUGCUCAAACAUAUCGAGCUAGCCAGUCAGAACGCAGCUGAUAAGUUUUCUGUUCAAGAGCCAUGUUUCCUGCGGUGUCCUCUGAGAGGCUGAUAUUCUCUGUGCUGGUGUAUCGCAGGGGUUUUUAAAGUCAGACACUGUGGCAGUUCCCGAUGGCCAUCAGGGACAAACCAGUGACCAGACCACAGCAUGCAGCUGUCCUUUUCUAGUGUUUCGUAUAACCUCUGUAAAGAUGAGAGUCAGUGUGGAUCUGCUGUGGCAGGAAGGUUUCACCUGACUCUUCAUCUCCAGCAUGAAUAAAAUCUGUCAUUUGGCUCUGGAACCUGUGAGGUGUGGACAUGCUGCUGAAACAGAUGCUAAAGGAUCUUUUAUUAAUUUUUUUUUAAUCCCUGAGCAGGACAAAGGUUACUGUCGCGUCUCCAACCUGUCUCUUGAGGGACACUAGCUCCAUGUCCAGCUGACGAAGCAGGGUGUUGGCGGCAGAGGCGCUGCAGGACACGGCCACCACGUCUUCCUGGGUCAGGUACAUGCCUUUGGGGGGGCGGCAGCGGGAGCGCUGGUGGUGUCGGUGCUGCAGGGUCUGGUGCUCCCGUCGACCCAGAGCCACCUUAGAGCCUGGUACCGUCACCUCCACCUGGUUCUGAAGUCGCUGUCGUUGGCUUCGAUGGGAUUGGCAUCCUCCAUCUCUUCAUCACUACGGCAACAAUAAGCCAAAAUUCAGUUGCUACAUGUCGUCACACAACCACCGCCACCGCACAGAAACCAAAGCCACACGGUGUCAAAGCCACAGGAAGUAUCUGAUGAUCAAGUCUCGAUCGUUUUUCAAGCUAAAAGGACAAAAACUCUCAGGUGUCUGCUUCUGCAGUGUGAAGACCUGUUGGCUUUCUCUGUUUUAUCUCCUUAUGAACAUGGUGUGUUUGAGUUUGCUGCCGCCUCUGCGUGACAGUGUGUGUGUCAGGGGUCGGCGCCGAUCCGUGAGCCGUACCUGUCGUCCUGGUUGCUCCUGUUGGCCAGUUUGCGAGCCUGUCGGUCCAUGAGACUGGUUCUGGAGCGAGUCUUCUUCCACGAGUAGUAGUACUUCACCAGACUGGAGAUGGACUUGUCCGGUAACUGAACGAAACACCGUAAAAUUCAACUGUUACAACCAACAAGUUCUGAGCCACAUGGAGUCUUCUGGAUGAAAACACAGGUGUUUACCAUCUGCUGGAUGCGGUGGAAGCUCUUCCCGUGGAAGCUGAAGGCCUGUUCAAACAGCACCUUGUCCUCCACCGUCCACUCGUCCGGAAACGGAGUGAAGUUCGGCAGGUCAGCCAGAGACUUCUCUAU
Molecule: long non-coding RNA, 1821 nt
Organism: Toxotes jaculatrix (banded archerfish)
Lineage: Eukaryota; Metazoa; Chordata; Actinopteri; Toxotidae
Exons: 5
Source: RefSeq, a predicted model, not a curated record